UCCGUCUUUCGCUCGAAUACGACGGCGCCGGAGCUACUCCGACCAAAAAUUACAGCGCCGCCGUGAUGAACACACCACCAACGACCUCUUCUUCCUAAUUUCGAGUUUAGCCUAACGUGAUUCCUCAUUAAUCUCUCGUUCUCACUCUCUAAUCCUCAAAACGAAACGAACUAAAACCUAAGUGAUAUCAGCCGGUUUACACAACAAUUUCGAUCCAAUUAGAAGCUACCACCAUAGGGGUUUUGAUCAACAGAACGAGCUCUAUCACAUGGUAGAUGAGAAAGAAUGCGAGAAUUGAAAGAUUGUAGCGUUCACCUGGGGAGUAUGAAGCUUGAAGAUAAUUGUUGAGGAAAACCGGAGAUGAACGUGAGUUGAAGAUUGGCGGAUGAGAUCGAAGGUUCUUGAUUCGGUGCAGCUCCGAUUUCUGAGAAUUGGUUGAUUGAAUUUGAUGAAGAUGAUUGAGGUGUGAAGCACAGAGAUAGCGAAGAUGAUGAAGGAUGAUUGGGGAAGGUUGUUGUUCAUGGAGUCUUCUGAUUAUCUCUUUUCUUGUUCUUCAAAUCUGUUUCUGAAUUUCUGUGUGAUUAAAGGCGUUAUGCAGUGUUGUUGAGAUGAUGAAAGUUCAGAGGUGAGAAUGGUGGAGAGAAGGUAAAGAUGGUGAUGAAGAGAACGGAAGAACUCAGAAGUGGUGGUGGUGAUGAAGUGAAGAAGAAUUGUGGAGAUUGAAGAGAUUGGAGAAGAGUGAAGGAUUGGUGAAGUUGAUGAAAAUGGUGGAGAGCUGAAAGAAUGGAUCAAGGCUCUGAUUUAUAGAGAUUCUUCAGGCACAGCUUCCCCCCUGCACGAUGUCUAUUGUAGGCUUCAGUUUGAAUGAUGCAAAUGUGGAGGCUUUGAAGAAUGCUUGAAGAAUGAAGGAUGCAAGGUUGACUAACUUUGGUUCAAAAACAGUUGGCUACUAGUUGAUAGUUUAGAAUAGGGAUUUGCAUUUGUCAUGGUUUUCUUUGUAAGGUGCAAUGUGAAGGAUAGGAGUUAUUGUAAUGAAUGGAUUUCGUGAUUUUGUAUGAAGUUUGGAAGAUUGCUCUUGGACAUGUAAUAAGUAAUAGUGAAUGAGAUUGGUUCCUUAAUUCUUGAAUUUGAACUUUGAAAGAUUGUAAAGAACCAAUACGAAAAGCUUUGUAUUCAGCAUAACUCUUUUUUUAUUCUGUAUUGAAUUUACAAUGUAGCAUGUA
Molecule: long non-coding RNA, 1223 nt
Organism: Vicia villosa (hairy vetch)
Lineage: Eukaryota; Viridiplantae; Streptophyta; Magnoliopsida; Fabales; Fabaceae
Exons: 3
Source: RefSeq, a predicted model, not a curated record